Molecule: long non-coding RNA, 506 nt
Organism: Plectropomus leopardus (leopard coralgrouper)
Lineage: Eukaryota; Metazoa; Chordata; Actinopteri; Perciformes; Serranidae
Source: RefSeq, a predicted model, not a curated record
CAUGCUCUCAGUAGUCCGGCCAGUUAGGCUCGAAUUAAUUGCACUUAACAUGUCUGAAAACUUGUUUGCAUGCGUAUUUUCUACUUAUUAUUAUGAUACAUGAUGUAGGUUUGCCCGAAAUACUUUAAUUUUGAUGAAGUAUCAUGGUGCGUUUUGGAGCAGUGGGACUAGGCCGCAUCGGCGUGGAAAUGCGAAGGGCCGAGGAUUAACUCAGAUCAAUGCAGUGUUUUUGAGGUGAUUGCACAUCCACACGUGGACGGAAGGGUGGUGUGCUGUCAGAUGGAGGCCUUUUAUGCAUGGCAGGAUGCAGUGAAUUGGUUUUGCAGAAGCAGCAUAAGCACAAUCAGACAGCGGUGCUCAAGAAAUGGACAAGCUACUGCAAGGCGACACUAGGACUCCAAAAUUACCAUGCUUUUUGAUUUUCUCUUACAUGCAUUUUUGAAGAAGACCUAAGUAUAUAUUGUUGAACUAUCAGAAUUUAACGCCCUGUUUGAAUAAAACAUUUG